GAAGUCUAUCUUACGCGCGAGCCAAUGGGCGUUGGGGCGCGGACCCGCAUCCGUGUGGGCCCGCCCCAGUAUACCGAGAACCCCACAGGCGCAGACAACUCGAGACGGUUUCGUCGCGGGAUUACGGGGGCGCGCUUGGCGCAAGCCACGGACGCCUCCCUCCAUCCCAGGGUGCCCCGGUACGGGCUGGCGUGCGGUCACACGUGCGCCACCCAGCGGGCAUCCCCCGAGUGCGUAGGAUGCGACCCGAAAGAUGGUGAACUAUGCCUGAUCAGGUUGAAGUCAGGGGAAACCCUGAUGGAGGACCGAAGCAAUUCUGACGUGCAAAUCGAUUGUCAGAAUUGGGCAUAGGGGCGAAAGACCAAUCGAACCAUCUAGUAG
Molecule: ribosomal RNA, 381 nt
Filed under: Anopheles nili
Lineage: Eukaryota; Metazoa; Arthropoda; Insecta; Diptera; Culicidae
Description: eukaryotic LSU rRNA
Rfam family: Eukaryotic large subunit ribosomal RNA
Source: RNAcentral